Long non-coding RNA from Ipomoea nil (Japanese morning glory), 251 nucleotides. RefSeq lists it as uncharacterized. NCBI's taxonomy places the organism in Eukaryota, Viridiplantae, Streptophyta, Magnoliopsida, Solanales, Convolvulaceae. The transcript has 3 exons. The record is from RefSeq and is a predicted model, not a curated record.
UGUAUCAGAUCAUUAAGCUUUAAGCCUUUUGCCUUGAUUAAUUGAAUUAAUAAUCCAUGGGUCUUAUAGUAAUCUAAUCUAGACAUCUGGCAUAUCACUCUCCCUUAUUCGCAUUUUGUUUUUACUCAUUAAUAGUGCAAUAAAUACUAAUUCCAGUUGUUGUCAAUGGCUAUGAUGAUACUUCCACCAUUUGUCUGAAAUGGCUUUGAGUUGGUAUAUUGCUCAUUAGAUUUUGGUUAUAUUCCAAGAUU